GGAGGAAACUCUGGAGAACUCUUAAGUGAGUGCCGAAGGUGCAAGGCUUAAACAGCCGAAUCUCUCAGGCAAACGGACAGAGCAAACGCG
This 90-nucleotide non-coding RNA is filed under the name Slackia heliotrinireducens. RNAcentral describes it as "Glycine sequence". It matches the Rfam family "Glycine riboswitch aptamer". Rfam says of the family: This family represents the bacterial glycine riboswitch. The record is from RNAcentral. Lineage: Bacteria; Bacillati; Actinomycetota; Coriobacteriia; Eggerthellales; Eggerthellaceae. RNAcentral also lists the same sequence under 1 other name.